Molecule: long non-coding RNA, 204 nt
Filed under: Lathyrus oleraceus (garden pea)
Lineage: Eukaryota; Viridiplantae; Streptophyta; Magnoliopsida; Fabales; Fabaceae
Description: Pisum sativum (pea) long non-coding RNA (PSAT_LNC042392)
Source: RNAcentral
UCAAAUCAACUUCAACUUAAACUACAAAUUUUAAUACCCAAAUCGAUCGUUUCUAGGUAAGAAUUCAAAUCAAUUUCAACUUACAAUACAAACAAUGUUGCGAUGUGACCUUCAUAUGAAUUUCCCCAAUAUUUGAACUUUUGAAAAGUAUGCCCCUGACUAACCGACUUUCGGAGUGGUUGGUUUCACUGUGCUCCUGAGGUG